CACGUGAGCAACCUACCCUUGACACUGGGAUAACAGUUGGAAACAGCUGCUAAUACCGGAUACGAACUCAGCAGGCAUCUGCCGAGUUGGAAAGCUCCGACGGUCAAGGAUGGGCUCGCGGCCUAUCAGCUUGUUGGUGAGGUAACGGCUCACCAAGGCGACGACGGGUAGCCGGCCUGAGAGGGCGACCGGCCACACUGGGACUGAGAUACGGCCCAGACUCCUACGGGAGGCAGCAGUGGGGAGUAUUGCGCAAUGGGCGAAAGCCUGACGCAGCAACGCCGCGUGCGGGAUGACGGCCUUCGGGUUGUAAACCGCUUUCAGCAGGGACGAAACUGACGGUACCUGCAGAAGAAGCACCGGCUAACUACGUG
Molecule: ribosomal RNA, 374 nt
Filed under: uncultured bacterium
Lineage: Bacteria
Description: bacterial SSU rRNA
Rfam family: Bacterial small subunit ribosomal RNA
Source: RNAcentral